Molecule: ribosomal RNA, 292 nt
Filed under: uncultured bacterium
Lineage: Bacteria
Description: partial 16S ribosomal RNA
Rfam family: Bacterial small subunit ribosomal RNA
Source: RNAcentral
GUGCCAGCAGCCGCGGUAAUACGUAGGGUGCGAGCGUUAAUCGGAAUGACUGGGCGUAAAGGGUGUGUAGGCGGUCUGUUAAGUCUGAUGUGAAAUCCCCGGGCUCAACCUGGGAACUGCGUUGGAAACUGGCAAACUAGAGUACGUAAGAGGGGGGUGGAAUUCCACGUGUAGCAGUGAAAUGCGUAGAGAUGUGGAGGAACACCGAUGGCGAAGGCAGCCCCCUGGGACGAUACUGACGCUGAGGCACGAAAGCGUGGGGAGCAAACAGGAUUAGAUACCCCUGUAGUCC